GACGAACGCUGGCGGCGUGCUUAACACAUGCAAGUCGAACGGAAAGGCCUGCUUUCCCUUGUGGAUUGCGGGUACUCGAGUGGCGAACGGGUGAGUAACACGUGGGUGAUCUGCCCCCAACUUGGGUAUAAGCCUGGGAAACUGGGUCUAAUUCCCGAUAGGACUGCAGGGUGGUGCCUGUGGUGGAAAACGAUUUUCUAGUGGUUGGGGAUGGGCUCGCGGCCUAUCAGCUUGUUGGUGGGGUAAUGGCCUACCAAGGCGGCGACGGGUAGCCGGCCUGAGAGGGUGGACGGCCACAUUGGGACUGAGAUACAGCCCAGACUCCUACGGGAGGCAGCAGUGGGGAAUAUUGCACAAUGGGCGGAAGCCUGAUGCAGCGACGCCGCGUGGGGGGUGACGGCCUUCGGGUUGUAAACUCCUUUCGACCGCGAGGAAGCCACCUGGUUGGAAGGGUGGUGACGGUAGUGGUAGAAGAAGCACCGGCUAACUACGUG
RNAcentral lists this ribosomal RNA (494 nucleotides) under uncultured bacterium. RNAcentral describes it as "partial 16S ribosomal RNA". It matches the Rfam family "Bacterial small subunit ribosomal RNA", at positions 28 to 507 of the family's 1533-position model. The record is from RNAcentral.